RNAcentral lists this long non-coding RNA (1731 nucleotides) under Pandoravirus celtis. RNAcentral's name for it is "hypothetical ncRNA". The record is from RNAcentral.
AACAUGACCUUGUUCGGCAGCGCCAUGCAGGGCGUCAACCGUGCAGGCAUGGCCAUAGGUGGUCCGCACCCAGUCGAUCAAGUCGACGCGUCCGGUGGCUGCGGCAGUGUCGAUCGACUCUGUGAUGCAGCCCGUGCCAUACCGGGUAUACAACCACUGGGCCACGUCGAGAUGGCCCGUAAAGAUGGCAGCGCCCAUUGCGGAUUGCGAUGGCACUAUGUCGGGCCGAUGCACGCGCAGCCAUUCGAGGGCGUCAAAGCAAUCCUGUGGGGCAUCACGACCGAGGUUCGCAAAGCAGCCACAGGAGACCGCAGUGUCGAUGGCAGAGUCGAGCACCGCAAGAUCUGGCUGGCGCUCACACAGAUAGUUUACCACGCUCAUGUGGCCGCUGUUGAGGGCCGUCGUGAGGACUCGGGGUGUCGGCCGCGCAUCGGGAUAGUUGUCGCACAACCACUCGACGACAUCCAAGUGGCCGUUUUGGGCCGCCGCCUGCGUGGUUGAUACGUCAAACUGCACGUCGGCCACGUGCGUUGCCAUCCACUGCAACACGUCGAGGCGACCGUGGGCUGCCGCGCUAUCGCCCAUCGAUGGCAAGUAGUUUGGCACCCGGCCGUUGGCGUGGAGCCAGCAGAGUACAUCCAUGUAGCCUCGUGACGCCGCAUCGCGAAAUAUGCGCACGGGGUCGAUGUGUUGUUGUGGCAGGUGACCAAAGACCCACUCGACGGCCUGCACGUUGCCGCUGCAGGACGUCGAUCCGGCUCUGACAGUGCACCCCUCGGUCCGGUGAUCGUGAAGCCAUUGAAGGACCUCAACGUGGCCGCUGGCAGCGGCCUUGUCCAUAGCCCGAUAAGUGCAGCCCUGAUCGCUAUUUUCGUGCAACCACUUGACAAUGUCGAGAUGACCUCCUCUGGCGGCAUAGUCCAUGGCAACGGGGUCUGCGCGGCCGUCUGCAUCCUCUGACGGAUAUCGACCACCGAUGGCCUCGUGCAGGUGGGCGACGACAUCCAAUCGACCGGCCUCGGCAGCGCGGUUCAUGGCAUGGGGCGAGUAGCGUGUGUGUGGCACGGCGUCACUCAGGAGCAGGUCGAUCAAUCCAAUGUGGCCGUGUGCGGCGGCCUCGCCCAGAUGACGACUCGUAAAGUGGUGGCCCGCGGCCGCGAGCGCCGCCACAGCCACCGUGUCGCCCUUGCGGCACAGGUCGAGGUCGUGCCGGCUCCACACUGCCAAUCGGCGCUGUUGUGUGAUCUCGCCGUCGGUGUGUACCAGGAACCAUGGAUGGGCCAGGCGGGCGGCGCAAAAAUCAAUGUUGUUCAGAUAGUCGAGGAUGCGCGCAGCGAUUUCACUUGGCAUCGCGGUGAGCAUCCUUUUUCGGCGUGCGUGCGUACGCGUGUGUCUACUUUUUUUGUUUGUUCUCUCUCCCUGUUUUUGUUUUUGUUUUUCUUUGUCUAAAAUGCCUUGCCGUUGUCGUCGGCGUGUUGGUCCAUUGAUCCAAUGGUUUUCGUUGGACUCGACAGAGAAGAAAAAAAUUGGCGGCCAACACGCGUCGGAUAAUCGGUCGGGUCUGGCCUGCACCAAAAAGAAAAGCAAAACCCUUGGCCGUCCGAUGGUCAUCAAAAAUACUCUUUUUCGUCUGGGCGGGCCAACCAGAUUUUUUUGUGUGGUUCUUGUCAUUUCCAAAAAAAAGACGCGCCCUUUUGCCGUCGCCUUGUUCCUUCCUCGCACAGGUUUCGG